RNAcentral lists this ribosomal RNA (828 nucleotides) under Cordyceps javanica. RNAcentral describes it as "partial large subunit ribosomal RNA". It matches the Rfam family "Eukaryotic large subunit ribosomal RNA", at positions 71 to 931 of the family's 3401-position model. Lineage: Eukaryota; Fungi; Ascomycota; Sordariomycetes; Hypocreales; Cordycipitaceae. The record is from RNAcentral.
GGGAUUGCCCCAGUAACGGCGAGUGAAGCGGCAACAGCUCAAAUUUGAAAUCUGGCCCUCGGGUCCGAGUUGUAAUUUGUAGAGGAUGCUUUUGGCGAGGUGCCUUCCGAGUUCCCUGGAACGGGACGCCAUAGAGGGUGAGAGCCCCGUCUGGUCGGACACCGAGCCUCUGUAAAGCUCCUUCGACGAGUCGAGUAGUUUGGGAAUGCUGCUCAAAAUGGGAGGUAUAUGUCUUCUAAAGCUAAAUAUUGGCCAGAGACCGAUAGCGCACAAGUAGAGUGAUCGAAAGAUGAAAAGCACUUUGAAAAGAGGGUUAAAAAGUACGUGAAAUUGUUGAAAGGGAAGCGCCUAUGACCAGACUUGAGCCCGGUGAAUCAUCCAGCGUUCUCGCUGGUGCACUUUGCCGGGCCCAGGCCAGCAUCAGUUUGGCGCGGGGGAUAAAGGUGACGGGAAUGUGGCUCCCUCGGGAGUGUUAUAGCCCGCUACGUAAUACCCUGCGCCGGACUGAGGUACGCGCAUUGCAAGGAUGCUGGCGUAAUGGUCAUCAGCGACCCGUCUUGAAACACGGACCAAGGAGUCGUCUUCGUAUGCGAGUGUUCGGGUGUCAAACCCCUACGCGUAAUGAAAGUGAACGCAGGUGAGAGCUUCGGCGCAUCAUCGACCGAUCCUGAUGUUCUCGGAUGGAUUUGAGUAAGAGCAUACGGGGCCGGACCCGAAAGAAGGUGAACUAUGCCUGUAUAGGGUGAAGCCAGAGGAAACUCUGGUGGAGGCUCGCAGCGGUUCUGACGUGCGAAUCGAUCGUCAAAUAUGGGCAUGGGGGCGAAAGAC